RNAcentral lists this long non-coding RNA (667 nucleotides) under Gopherus agassizii (Agassiz's desert tortoise). RNAcentral's name for it is "lncRNA (ENSGAGG00000020143.1)". Lineage: Eukaryota; Metazoa; Chordata; Testudines; Testudinidae. The record is from RNAcentral.
GUUUCUUGCAAACUACCACACUCUUGUUGAGUCUCAUGGAUCAGGCCCUAAGAGAAGGUCAUCAGUCGCUAUGGGUCAAAUUAGGGAAGCAGCAAUCCAAGUUGUGGUGCUGAGCAGUAGAUUACUCCAGGGGAACAACAAGUAAAAAGAUUUUCUCUCCAGUCUGCAAAGAAGAAACAGAUUUUCUUGGCAGCUGCAAAGGGGAAAGUAGCUGGUGAACACACAUAUCUGAAGGCUAAUAGAUGCUGAUCCACAAUACUUUGGCAUGUAUAUAACACCGACUGCCAGUCAACAGGCUCAAUUGUGGUAGCGGAGGUCAGCAAGGGAAGAUCUCAUUAUUGAGCCCAAAUCAGAAACUUGCUCUGGAUGAUAACACCCAUCACAUAGGAAGUACCUACUGUUCACUAGAGACUCUAUUAUGGAGCUUUAGUUACUUCCUAACUAAAGCUGAAGUCACUAUAGCUGGGUAGGUGGUGGAACCUCACGACAGGAACAAGCAACACUUCACAAGAGACUUGAGAAAGGCCUGCUGCAAUGCACCUCUCAACUCUGGAACUGUGCCAUUCACUGACACCAAACCGUGAGUGAGGUUUAGUGGAUGAUGAAGAGGGAAGUAACCUGGUGAACGGAUAUUUGCCCACUGGACAUUUACACCAUCAGGUGGGGA